UACGUAGGGGGCAAGCGUUGUCCGGAAUCACUGGGCGUAAAGGGUGCGUAGGCGGUUGUGUAAGUCUGGAGUGAAAGUCCAGGGCUCAACCCUGGGAAUGCUUCGGAAACUGUGCGACUUGAGUGCUGGAGAGGCAAGGGGAAUUCCACGUGUAGCGGUGAAAUGCGUAGAUAUGUGGAGGAAUACCAGUGGCGAAGGCGCCUUGCUGGACAGAAACUGACGCUGAGGCACGAAAGCGUGGGGAGCAAACAGG
This 253-nucleotide ribosomal RNA is filed under the name uncultured bacterium. RNAcentral describes it as "partial 16S ribosomal RNA". It matches the Rfam family "Bacterial small subunit ribosomal RNA", at positions 524 to 776 of the family's 1533-position model. The record is from RNAcentral.